CGCUGUUCCUUCCUAAACUCCUCCACCGGUGAGUGCAUCCAACUGGACCUCUCGGAGCUCCUUGACCAUGAGCUGCUCGCCGUCACCCCCGAGGGCCUCCUUGUCCUGCUCCACGACCAGAGCCAUGUCCGCCUGCUUAAUCCGCUCACGCGUCACCUCACAGAGCUACCGCCGCUCACCACUCUGCUGCCCUCUGUGGACCGUGUCAUGCCUUCCCGUUUCAGCAUAAACUAUUUCUCAGUGUCGGGCUGCGGCAUUGCUAGUGAUGAUUCAACAGUGGUGCUCUGCUUCAAUCAGCUCCGCAUGCUUGGCAUGGCCAAACCUGGCGAUGACCACUGG
This 339-nucleotide ribosomal RNA is filed under the name Triticum aestivum (bread wheat). RNAcentral describes it as "partial small subunit ribosomal RNA". The record is from RNAcentral. Lineage: Eukaryota; Viridiplantae; Streptophyta; Magnoliopsida; Poales; Poaceae.